This 497-nucleotide ribosomal RNA is filed under the name uncultured bacterium. RNAcentral describes it as "partial 16S ribosomal RNA". It matches the Rfam family "Bacterial small subunit ribosomal RNA", at positions 28 to 507 of the family's 1533-position model. The record is from RNAcentral.
GAUGAACGCUGACGGCGUGCCUAAUACAUGCAAGUCGAGCGAACGGACGAGAAGCUUGCUUCUCUGAUGUUAGCGGCGGACGGGUGAGUAACACGUGGAUAACCUACCUAUAAGACUGGGAUAACUUCGGGAAACCGGAGCUAAUACCGGAUAAUAUUUUGAACCGCAUGGUUCAAAAGUGAAAGACGGCCUUGCUGUCACUUAUAGAUGGAUCCGCGCUGCAUUAGCUAGUUGGUAAGGUAACGGCUUACCAAGGCAACGGUGCAUAGCCGACCUGAGAGGGUGAUCGGCCACACUGGAACUGAGACACGGUCCAGACUCCUACGGGAGGCAGCAGUAGGGAAUCUUCCGCAAUGGGCGAAAGCCUGACGGAGCAACGCCGCGUGAGUGAUGAAGGUCUUCGGAUCGUAAAACUCUGUUAUUAGGGAAGAACAUAUGUGUAAGUAACUGUGCACAUCUUGACGGUACCUAAUCAGAAAGCCACGGCUAACUACGUG